Molecule: ribosomal RNA, 268 nt
Filed under: uncultured Leuconostoc sp.
Lineage: Bacteria; Bacillati; Bacillota; Bacilli; Lactobacillales; Lactobacillaceae
Description: partial 16S ribosomal RNA
Rfam family: Bacterial small subunit ribosomal RNA
Source: RNAcentral
UGAUUGAUAACAUUUGAGUGAGUGGCGGACGGGUGAGUAACACGUGGGUAACCUGCCCUAAAUGGGGGAUAACAUUUGGAAACAGAUGCUAAUACCGAAUAAACUUAGUGUCGCAUGACACAAAGUUAAAAGGCGCUUCGGCGUCACCUAGAGAUGGAUCCGCGGUGCAUUAGUUAGUUGGUGGGGUAAAGGCCUACCAAGACAAUGAUGCAUAGCCGAGUUGAGAGACUGAUCGGCCACAUUGGGACUGAGACACGGCCCAUACUCC